Molecule: long non-coding RNA, 2179 nt
Organism: Macaca fascicularis (crab-eating macaque)
Lineage: Eukaryota; Metazoa; Chordata; Mammalia; Primates; Cercopithecidae
Source: Ensembl
UGCGAAGUGUGCGGAUUACUUUUUUUUCCUGUGCACGGGGCGUGUUGUGGGGGUGCGGGGUGACUUAUAGGUUCGGGGGGAGGGAGGAAUUAGGGGGCUUGAAAUUCAGUUCCCUGUUUCUCUAUUUAUUUCUCAUUUGAAAUUAUGCAGAUUGACUCUCCUUUCCUUCCCUCCUAGGGGGCAAAUCCUCGAACGCGAACCUGAUCUCAUGUCACAGAAGCAACUUGCCAUGAAAUCCGCUAAUGCGCCGCGACUCGCCCACCAGGAUAAAUAACCCCAUCGUCCGUGUAAUCAGCCCGUUCCCAAUGAAGUCAUUUUCUUCGAAUGCACUCUCUGCUUGCCACACUGGAGGAAUCCAGCCCACAGAGGUUUCGGAAACCCAGUUUGAGUGAUUCCAGCCUAGACUGAAACCCUGCGAACCUCCCAGGAAAGAGAGCCCGGCCCGGGCCAAGCAGUCGGACACACACACACACACACACACACACACCCCGACGGUGUAGCUCUUCACAGGAUGGAAGGCUGGAUGCGGAUCUGGGAGGCUGUGGCUAAGCGAACCAGGAAGACUGUGAGGGAAACCAAUACAGCAGUGUCAUCUUGAAAGUUAUUUGGAAGAACAGGACCUGGAGUCUGGGUUUGAAUCAAAAAAUUAUGAGCAAGGGACAGAUUACCCAGUAUUUCUUUGGAGCCAGACAGAACUGAGACCUGCCCAGCUGAACCAGCUUGGUUUGGAUUAGGAAAUUAUUCUCAGACACAGUAGCACACACAUCCUCUGACAGCGAGCUCACUCCUGGGCAGUGGGCUUCUGGCUCUGCCACUGCUCUCCACAACCACCCUACAGGCCUCCUCCAGGUUUUGCCAGGCAAAUGAAACGAGCGGAACUCGAUAGUAAAUUAUUUUGUUCAGCUUUCUCUCUUUUUAUGAAAAUAAAAGGCAACACUUUGUCAUUUUUAAUCACAUAAGCAGACAAUAAAUCUAAUUUUGAUAUUGAUUAUUUUCCAGAAUCCAGUGAUUUUUUGUAGUGGCUGUUGUGUUUCCUUUCUGAAGAACGGCUGUUUUCUUGUAGACAGUGUGGCAAUGGGGCUGCCUUUAUGCAGGCUGGUGCUUUUCUGAAACACGUUGUGGACUUUGAAGCCAGAUAGCUGACAAGGGAUUCUUCCUGAGUGGCAGGAAGUUUGGAUUUUGUCUGAGACAGUGAUUUGAAUGGGCCGCCCCGGUGCCCUAGACUAGAUGUAAGGCUUUGACGGUGCUUUUAGGGGUUACAGCAUUUGAGAUUGACAGGUUUAAGUUUUUCUCAAAAUAAAAUCAAAUAAAUAAAAAUAAAAACAACCCCCAAAUCUUGCUGAUGUCAGGGGCCCAGAUGGCACCAUGGGAAUAUUACUUAGCAAGAGGAAUGCAUCCUCCACGGAUGUCAGAAACGUACCAGGCUCAGGAAAGGGGCAGGACCCUGCACGGGGUAAGGACUGAAGCCUAGCUGAGAAACAUUAGGAAAGGCCAGUUACUGGGAAAAGGUCCCAGGAGCUUAGGUACCGCCUCUGCAUCCUGAGGCUUACCUGGCGCUCUCCUUUCUUUCUCCUUUUUUUCAGGAACAGGAUUAGUUUGUUGUGUCAAAUGGACUGGCACCUUUCAUAUGAAAGUCUGGAGGUGCAGAGACCUGCACGAGGCUCCCCUGUGGAGAAGGAGGGAGGGGAUGAGAGAAGAAAGCUAGGGAGAAGGAAAGAAUAAGAUAGGGGUGGAGAAAAAGAAAGAAAAAAGGAGGGAGAGGGGAAAGAGAGAAGAAAAUAAGAAAGGAGUGGUAGAGAAGGAAGAAAGGAAUGGAGGGAGGGAACCAAGGAGAGAGAAAGGAAAGCAGGUAGGAAAAGGAAGAGAGAGAAAGGAAGACUGGAGGGAGAGAAGGAAGAAAAACAGAUCUUAAAAGACCUAAUAAAAAAACACAAAAUUACCAGGUCUUUUCUAGGAAAUUGUAAUUGCCCUGGUGGACCACCUGGGCCUUUGCGUGCAGUACCAGACGGCCUCUCCUCCCUUCUGAGGCACAGAACAAAUGACAGCCCGGGCGUAAAUUAAAAGCCCCUCAACUUCCCACACCAAUCCGAAAGACUGAACUCAGGGCACCCCGGACCAUACCGCCAGGCCGGGACACCACCGGCUACCCUAGCAUUGCCGCACCGCCCCCAUCCCACCG